UACAGAGGUCUCAAGCGUUGUUCGGAUUCAUUGGGCGUAAAGGGUGCGUAGGCGGCGCGGUAAGUCUGGUGUGAAAUCUCGGAGCUCAACUCCGAAAUUGCACCGGAUACUGCGUGACUCGAGGACUGUAGAGGAGAUCGGAAUUCACGGUGUAGCAGUGAAAUGCGUAGAUAUCGUAAGGAAGACCAGUGGCGAAGGCGGGUCUCUGGACAGUUCCUGACGCUGAGGCACGAAGGCCAGGGGAGCAAACGGG
Molecule: ribosomal RNA, 253 nt
Filed under: uncultured bacterium
Lineage: Bacteria
Description: partial 16S ribosomal RNA
Rfam family: Bacterial small subunit ribosomal RNA
Source: RNAcentral